UUUAUUUUGAAAUUGUAGGGUCGGGGCAACCUGUGGUUAGGAAGUGAUUGUGGGAGGUGUGGAGUGUUGCUACGUGAGUCACUCCACGCUGUGAGUUUUGAAUAACUUUUCAUGGAGUGGAGAAGAGGGAACAUGUGUGCAAUGACUCAGAUCAUGUUCAAACCCCCUGAGGCAUUUUGUUUGUUCAUUUUUAGCUCCAUAUCGACUUGGAAAUCGAACAGUAAACAACGCAAAAAGGUUUUUGGCUGAACAACUUUGGAUUAUGCAUUGUUCCGGACUCUGUUCUGGCCGCGGUCAGCGCUGUAGAUCAUUUAUGCCAGUGCGCUGCCUCUGUUCCUCACAUAUUGAGUACAGGAGCCUCCCCCUUCUACCUGUAUCUCCUUGGGAACUGACACGAGACUGCGGAGCUGUGUCAGCCAGGCGGACGUCUCGUUCUCAGUAUCGUUCUGCUUGUGACAAAAGGACUAGACAGAAACCCGAGACCCUCAGACCUGUUUGUUUCCUGUUAGAGCAGAUUAUUACGUUUCAUUAGCCAGAGGUACAAAAGCUAAGGAUAAUGGGAAAGUAACAAUCUGAGCUGAGGGAUUUCAGGUAAGGAGAUGGUACAUGCUUCUUACACUCAGAUUAUUAUUUUUUUUGAAUAAUUCAAAUACUACCCAAGUUUGCUGCAAACUUGAUUUAAAUGUCCAAUGAUGUUGGUUCUUUUUUUCUCUGUAUGCUGUUUGUUUGUAUCUUCAUCAUACAAAACGUAUGUCGAAGACGUAUGUGUUCAAUAAAAUCAGCUCAACCUACUGCCUUUAAAGGGCAGCUUAUUAUAGGAGUCCACCUAUGUGUGUAACUCUGGAGGAGCGGAUUUGGCUUGAAACUCAGGUUGCCUCUUUAGGAGCUCCAGCAAUUCAGUGGCUAAUGAUACACAUCUGGUGUGGGCAAUAAAGAAAGUUAUGUGGGCCAUGCAGCGGUUAAGCGUGCCAAGCUAAACUGGGC
This is a long non-coding RNA of Fundulus heteroclitus (mummichog), 984 nucleotides long. RefSeq lists it as uncharacterized. The transcript has 3 exons. The record is from RefSeq and is a predicted model, not a curated record. NCBI's taxonomy places the organism in Eukaryota, Metazoa, Chordata, Actinopteri, Cyprinodontiformes, Fundulidae.